GUAGAUAAAAGUUGGUUAAAAAAUUUCAACUUUUAAAUGUAGAAUAUUCGAGAAAUUGUAUUCGAGGAAUUGUAGAAUAUUAACUUUCAACUGAGAAUCGUAAUUCUUUAAUUUUUACAUUAAAUGAAUUUAGUAACGAAGAUUCACUUAAGGCUAAAGAUUGACCAAAUAUUUACUUAAAUCUUUCUUUAUAUCAAAAUUAAGGGAUGUGUACGCUAUAUAUAAAAAAGAAUACUUUACCAUAAUGAAAUUUUAAGCGCUGUUAUAAAAUAUAUUCAUAUGCUCUAUUGUUAUUAAAUACAUUACUAAAAAUAAGUUAUUGUUUAAUAUUUUUUAAGUCCAAUCCAUCAUCCUGAUAGAAGUGACUGUCGACUGGAAGCGUACGGGGGCAGAAACUGGCAAUUAUCGCAAUUGAACAUGUCUCUUAAACUAUUUAUCUUCAAAAAUUCCAUAUAGGAGAGAACGAGACAGUAUUAAGUAACCGUUGCAUCCAUUCCCUGAGCAAAAGACAAUCAUUGUCUUUUAAGGAGUCUUUAUCUGUGGAAACUGAGGCAAAACUGAUUCGGAAAUAACAACAGAGCUGAGAGUAAAACCGAAAAAGUGAUAUAGCUGUAAAACACAACUUAGAAGAUCGUCCCCUUUGAACAAGAUCAUCUAAGGAGAGGAGCACAUACACUGAUUGAGUAAGUUGCCCAGGACUUCUUUAAUCACAAAAUUGAAUUUGGAGAUGGAAUACCAACGGAUGUUACUGCAAAGCCAUAUUAUGAAGCACUAAAAGGAAGUUUAUCUUCAAUUUUAAAUACUCAUAAGAAUGUGUGCUACAAGGGAAAUACUUACGAAAUCGGUUUUUAUUGUGGUAUCCAAAAUAGUAGAGAUAUUUUCGAAAUAAUAGAAAUAUUCAGUAUAGAUAAAAAAUGCUUUUGUAUUUGCACCAAGUGGAAAACUACUUUUUGUAAUAAGUUCCAAUCUCAUGAAGUAGAGAAAACAACAGAAAAUAUAGUAAUUGAUGUCGAUGAAAUUUCCACAUUUCCACUUCAUGUAUAUAUGU
This is a long non-coding RNA of Phlebotomus papatasi, 1048 nucleotides long. RefSeq lists it as uncharacterized. NCBI's taxonomy places the organism in Eukaryota, Metazoa, Arthropoda, Insecta, Diptera, Psychodidae. The transcript has 3 exons. The record is from RefSeq and is a predicted model, not a curated record.